This 905-nucleotide ribosomal RNA is filed under the name uncultured crenarchaeote. RNAcentral describes it as "bacterial SSU rRNA". It matches the Rfam family "Archaeal small subunit ribosomal RNA", at positions 21 to 903 of the family's 1478-position model. Lineage: Archaea; Thermoproteati; Thermoproteota. The record is from RNAcentral.
CCUUACUGCUAUCGGGGUGGGACUAAGACAUGCGAGUCGAGCGUCUCUAGCUAUGUUGAGACGCGGCAGACGGCUCAGUAACACGUGGCUAACCUACCCUCAGGACGAGGAUAAACCCGGGAAACUGGGGCUAAUACUCGAUAGGUGAGAAUGUCUGGAAUGAUUUCUCACUCAAAGGGCCUUGGGAACAUGCUUCCAAUGUCGCCUGGGGAUGGGGCCGCGUCCGAUCAGGUUGUUGGUGAGGUAAUGGCUCACCAAGCCUAUAACCGGUACGGGCCGUGAGAGCGGUAGCCCGGARAUGGGUACUGAGACAAGGACCCAGGCCCUACGGGGCGCAGCAGUCGCGAAAACUCCCGCAAUGCACGAAAGUGUGACGGGGCUACCCCGAGUGCCAUCCGCUGAGGGUGGCUUUUCCUUGGUAUAACUAGCCGAGGGAAUAAGGAGAGGACAAGACUGGUGUCAGCCGCCGCGGUAAUACCAGCUCUCCGAGUGGUAGGGAUGAUUAUUGGGCUUAAAGCGUCCGUAGCCGGCUUAGCAAGUCUCCUGUUAAAUUCAGCGACCUAAUCGUUGAGCCGCGGGAGAUACUACUAGGCUAGGAGGCGGGGAGAGGUCGACGGUACUUCUGGGGUAGGGGUGAAAUCCUAUAAUCCCGGGAGGACCACCAGUGGCGAAGGCUGUCGACUAGAACGCGCCCGACGGUGAGGGACGAAAGCUGGGGGAGCGAACCGGAUUAGAUACCCGGGUAGUCCCAGCCGUAAACGAUGCUGGCUAGGUGUUGGGGUGGCUACGUGCCACUUCAGUGCCGCAGGGAAGCCAUUAAGCCCGCCGCCUGGGGAGUACGGCCGCAAGGCUGAAACUUAAAGGAAUUGGCGGGGGAGCACCACAAGGCGUGAAGCUUGCGGUUC